Homo sapiens (human) is the source of this 1026-nucleotide long non-coding RNA. Ensembl annotates it as long intergenic non-protein coding RNA 2293. The record is from Ensembl. NCBI's taxonomy places the organism in Eukaryota, Metazoa, Chordata, Mammalia, Primates, Hominidae.
AGUUUCUGCUACCACUUAAGUGUUAAUAGCUAAUAAUAGAGCAAGCUUGAUUACUACCUUGGUGUCCUAAAACGGAUGUUGGCCUGCCAGGGAGCAGCCAAGGUGAAGUUUUCAACCAGGCCGACCAACUUCAGAGUCCACUGGCUUCAAAACAGUGCUUUACAUCCUCCUUCCAACAUUAUUCACAAGCCGAUCAAGACUGAGAGAGUCACAAGUGUGUGAAACCUGUAUUCUUUCUGACUUCAUUUUCCCUGGGAACCUCAAAGAAUUCAAAUAUGCUACUUAGUAUACACACUAAUGUUUGCUCACCCUUUGAGCAUAAGCUCAAAUUUUAUUGUGGCUUAUCUUCUCCAAAAAAUGGGUCGAAAUUUUUGUAGAAUAGACAAAUCAAGAAUGAUGACUUCUUAAGAUGCAGUAUUCAAGUUCAGAAAUCUAUACUCAGAUGACCUUAUGUAGGUCAUCUGCUUCUGAGGUUUAUCUCACCAGUGGUUUUCUUCUGAUUGCCAAGUGUUCUUUUUACCCCCAACAGGCAUCCUGACUCAAGCUGUAUACAUUUGCAAUAUCUGAUUUUUAACCACACACUCUUCAUCCUAUUGACCCAGAGUGAAAAUUGAUACUCUUAGCUGAAGGACUGUUCCCUUGAGUAUAUUUAAACCAGACCAAUCUCUGUGUUUAAUCUGGGUUCAUCAGGAACCAUUAGCCUUGAUUGGUUUGUUUUUCUCCCCCUCCAUCUCAGGACUUGAUUCUAUUGAGUUAACAACUAUUCUCCCCAGAGAACAGCUACCGCAAGCCUGUUUCAAGUAAUUCCAAUAUCUGGCUCUUAGAAAUUGAACUGAUCUUUUUUUUCUUUAGUUUUAUGUGAAGAACUGCAGUAAUGAAUUCUGAAUUUGUUCAAAUCAUUGAAGAUGUGUGAAGACAAAACAUUCACUCAAAUCUCUAUCAUGUUAGCAUGUUAUUUAUCAUUGCUCUGUUCUUCAUUGUUGAAUAAUGCAAUUGAGUUAAAAAGAAUAAACAUUAUUUACCGAA